CCUCAUGGGGGCCUUUGCCUGUCUACCCUGGGGUGGUCAACUCAGAAUUACCUGAGGAUCUCAAGACAUCUAUCACCAGGCAUCUUCUCAACAUGCAUCUCGACCCCAAAUGGCAAGCUCAACUGAACCAAUACAUGGUGUCCAAA
This 146-nucleotide long non-coding RNA is filed under the name Patiria miniata (bat star). Its description in RNAcentral is "uncharacterized LOC119743542". Lineage: Eukaryota; Metazoa; Echinodermata; Asteroidea; Valvatida; Asterinidae. The record is from RNAcentral.